CCUACGGGCGGCUGCAGUGGGGAAUAUUGCACAAUGGGCGCAAGCCUGAUGCAGCCAUGCCGCGUGUGUGAAGAAGGCCUUCGGGUUGUAAAGCACUUUCAGCGGGGAGGAAGGCGUUAAGGUUAAUAACCUUGUCGAUUGACGUUACCCGCAGAAGAAGCACCGGCUAACUCCGUGCCAGCAGCCGCGGUAAUACGGAGGGUGCAAGCGUUAAUCGGAAUUACUGGGCGUAAAGCGCACGCAGGCGGUCUGUCAAGUCGGAUGUGAAAUCCCCGGGCUCAACCUGGGAACUGCAUUCGAAACUGGCAGGCUAGAGUCUUGUAGAGGGGGGUAGAAUUCCAGGUGUAGCGGUGAAAUGCGUGGAGAUCUGGAGGAAUACCGGUGGCGAAGGCGGCCCCCUGGACAAAGACUGACGCUCAGGUGCGAAAGCGAGGGGAGCAAACAGGAUUAGAUACCCGUGUAGUC
This 465-nucleotide ribosomal RNA is filed under the name uncultured Klebsiella sp. Its description in RNAcentral is "bacterial SSU rRNA". It matches the Rfam family "Bacterial small subunit ribosomal RNA", at positions 338 to 795 of the family's 1533-position model. Lineage: Bacteria; Pseudomonadati; Pseudomonadota; Gammaproteobacteria; Enterobacterales; Enterobacteriaceae. The record is from RNAcentral.